RNAcentral lists this ribosomal RNA (472 nucleotides) under uncultured bacterium. Its description in RNAcentral is "bacterial SSU rRNA". It matches the Rfam family "Bacterial small subunit ribosomal RNA", at positions 355 to 825 of the family's 1533-position model. The record is from RNAcentral.
UCGGGAAUUUUGGACAAUGGGCGAAAGCCUGAUCCAGCAAUGCCGCGUGAGUGAAGAAGGCCUUCGGGUUGUAAAGCUCUUUUGUCAGGGAAGAAACGGUGAGAGCUAAUAUCUUUUGCUAAUGACGGUACCUGAAGAAUAAGCACCGGCUAACUACGUGCCAGCAGCCGCGGUAAUACGUAGGGUGCAAGCGUUAAUCGGAAUUACUGGGCGUAAAGCGUGCGCAGGCGGUUUUGUAAGUCUGAUGUGAAAUCCCCGGGCUCAACCUGGGAAUUGCAUUGGAGACUGCAAGGCUAGAAUCUGGCAGAGGGGGGUAGAAUUCCACGUGUAGCAGUGAAAUGCGUAGAUAUGUGGAGGAACACCGAUGGCGAAGGCAGCCCCCUGGGUCAAGAUUGACGCUCAUGCACGAAAGCGUGGGGAGCAAACAGGAUUAGAUACCCACGUAGUCCCUGAGCGGGCUGGCAAGGCGCAU